AUCAUGAUUUACAUUUGAGUGAGUGGCGAACUGGUGAGUAACACGUGGGAAACCUGCCCAGAAGCGGGGGAUAACACCUGGAAACAGAUGCUAAUACCGCAUAACAACUUGGACCGCAUGGUCCGAGCUUGAAAGAUGGCUUCGGCUAUCACUUUUGGAUGGUCCCGCGGCGUAUUAGCUAGAUGGUGGGGUAACGGCUCACCAUGGCAAUGAUACGUAGCCGACCUGAGAGGGUAAUCGGCCACAUUGGGACUGAGACACGGCCCAAACUCCUACGGGAGGCAGCAGUAGGGAAUCUUCCACAAUGGACGAAAGUCUGAUGGAGCAACGCCGCGUGAGUGAAGAAGGGUUUCGGCUCGUAAAACUCUGUUGUUAAAGAAGAACAUAUCUGAGAGUAACUGUUCAGGUAUUGACGGUAUUUAACCAGAAAGCCACGGCUAACUACGUGCCAGCAGCCGCGGUAAUACGUAGGUGGCAAGCGUUGUCCGGAUUUAUUGGGCGUAAAGCGAGCGCAGGCGGUUUUUUAAGUCUGAUGUGAAAGCCUUCGGCUCAACCGAAGAAGUGCAUCGGAAACUGGGAAACUUGAGUGCAGAAGAGGACAGUGGAACUCCAUGUGUAGCGGUGAAAUGCGUAGAUAUAUGGAAGAACACCAGUGGCGAAGGCGGCUGUCUGGUCUGUAACUGACGCUGAGGCUCGAAAGUAUGGGUAGCAAACAGGAUUAGAUACCCUGGUAGUCCAUACCGUAAACGAUGAAUGCUAAGUGUUGGAGGGUUUCCGCCCUUCAGUGCUGCAGCUAACGCAUUAAGCAUUCCGCCUGGGGAGUACGGCCGCAAGGCUGAAACUCAAAGGAAUUGACGGGGGCCCGCACAAGCGGUGGAGCAUGUGGUUUAAUUCGAAGCUACGCGAAGAACCUUACCAGGUCUUGACAUACUAUGCAAAUCUAAGAGAUUAGACGUUCCCUUCGGGGACAUGGAUACAGGUGGUGCAUGGUUGUCGUCAGCUCGUGUCGUGAGAUGUUGGGUUAAGUCCCGCAACGAGCGCAACCCUUAUUAUCAGUUGCCAGCAUUAAGUUGGGCACUCUGGUGAGACUGCCGGUGACAAACCGGAGGAAGGUGGGGAUGACGUCAAAUCAUCAUGCCCCUUAUGACCUGGGCUACACACGUGCUACAAUGGAUGGUACAACGAGUUGCGAACUCGCGAGAGUAAGCUAAUCUCUUAAAGCCAUUCUCAGUUCGGAUUGUAGGCUGCAACUCGCCUACAUGAAGUCGGAAUCGCUAGUAAUCGCGGAUCAGCAUGCCGCGGUGAAUACGUUCCCGGGCCUUGUACACACCGCCCGUCACACCAUGAGAGUUUGUA
This 1356-nucleotide ribosomal RNA is filed under the name Lactiplantibacillus plantarum. RNAcentral describes it as "bacterial SSU rRNA". It matches the Rfam family "Bacterial small subunit ribosomal RNA", at positions 71 to 1416 of the family's 1533-position model. Lineage: Bacteria; Bacillati; Bacillota; Bacilli; Lactobacillales; Lactobacillaceae. The record is from RNAcentral.